AUGACGGUGAUCAAGGCUGGCCCUGCUUUCAUCUGUGUCAUCCCAGAGCCUGAGUGCCUCAGUUUCCUCAUGUACCUAGUGGGGGCCAUGAGGCCUGCCUUCUGGGGUUCUUCUUUCCCCCUCCGCAGGUGCACCCAAGAUCCCAAGGUAGGGCAGUUUCUCUCAGAACUAUUGACCAACCGAAAGGAGAACAUUCCUUUCAAGCUUUCUGAAGACUGUCUUUACCUCAAUAUUUACACUCCUGCUGACUUGACCAAGAAAAACAGGCUGCUGGUGAUGGUGUGGAUCCACAGAGGGGGGCUGAUGGUGGGCACCGCAUCAACCUCUGAUGGGCGGGUACUCGCAGCCCAUGAAAACGUGGUGGUGGUGACCAUUCAGCACUGCCUGGGCAUCUGGGGAUUCUUCAGGUUGACACAUCUGACUUCUCAUGGAAAGGAGGGAAGGGGCAGAGUCAUACAGGGAGUUCAGGGCAUAUUGUGGGUGAAGGAAUGGGCGCUGCAGAAGGUGUGGUGGCUCAUGCCUGUAAUUUCUGAGAGUGAUGUGGCCCUCACUCCUGCUCUGGUGGAGAAGGGUGACGUCAAGCCCCUGGCUGAGCAAAUUGCUAACACUGUUGGGUGUGAAACCACCAACUCAGCUGUCAUGGCUCACUGUCUGCGGCAGAAGAUGGAAGAGGAGCUCUUGGAGACGACAUUGAAAAUGAAUUUCUGAACUCUAGACUUACAUGGAGACCCCAGAGAGAGUUACCCCCACACACCCACGGUGAUUGAUGGAGUGGUGCUGCCAAAAACACCCGAGGAGCUUCAAGCUGAAAGGAAGUUCCACACUGUCCCCUACAUUGUCGGAUUUAACAGGAAGGAAUUUGGCUGGUUUCUUCCAACAUUGAUGAGCUAUCUACUCUCCGAAGGGAAACUGGACCAGAAGACAGCCAUGUCACUCUUCUGGAAGUCCUAUCCCUUUGUUCGCAUUCCUAAGGAAUUGAUUCCAGAAGCCAUUGAGAAGUACUUAGGAGGAACAGAUGACCCUGUCAAGAAGAAAGACCUGUUCCUGGACUUAAUGGGGGACGUACUGUUCGGUGUCCCAUCUGUGACUGUGGCCCGGAACCACAGAGAUGCUGGAGCACCCACCUACAUGUAUGAGUUUCAGUACCGUCCAAGCUUCUCAUCAGACAUGAAACCCAAGACGGUGAUAGGAGACCACGGGGAUGAGCUCUUCUCCGUCCUUGGGGCCCCAUCUUUAAAAGAGGGUGCCUCAGAAGAGGAGAUCAGACUUAGCAAGAUGGUGAUGAAAUUCUGGGCCAACUUUGCUCGCAAUGGAAACCCCAAUGGAGAAGGGCUGCCGCACUGGCCAGAGUACAACCAGGAGGAAGGGUACCUGCAGAUUGGUGCUAACACCCAGGCAGCCCAGAAGCUGAAGGACAAGGAAGUAGCUUUCUGGACCAAACUCUUCGCCAAGAAGGCAGUGGAGAAGCCACCCCAGAUAGAACACAUUGCGCUGUGAACGGAAGGUCCAUCCAGCCUCAGGAACCUGGAGGAGCAAAGACUGGGGUCUUUUGCCAAAGGGAUUGCAGGUUCAGAAGGCAUCUUACCAUGGCUGGG
RNA transcript from Homo sapiens (human), 1595 nucleotides. It is a transcript of the gene named carboxylesterase 1 pseudogene 2, with no coding region annotated. The record is from RefSeq and is marked validated. Lineage: Eukaryota; Metazoa; Chordata; Mammalia; Primates; Hominidae. The transcript has 14 exons.